GGGCCCGCACAAGCGGUGGAGCAUGUGGUUUAAUUCGAUGAUACGCGAGGAACCUUACCAGGGCUUAAAUGUAGUCUGACAGGCGUGGAAACAUGCUUUUCUUCGGACAGAUUACAAGGUGCUGCAUGGUUGUCGUCAGCUCGUGCCGUGAGGUGUCAGGUUAAGUCCUAUAACGAGCGCAACCCCUGUUGUUAGUUGCCAGCGAGUCAUGUCGGGAACUCUAACAAGACUGCCAGUGCAAACUGUGAGGAAGGUGGGGAUGACGUCAAAUCAUCACGGCCCUUACGUCCUGGGCUACACACGUGCUACAAUGGUCGGUACAGAGAGCAGCCACUACGCGAGUAGGAGCGAAUCUUCAAAAACCGAUCUCAGUUCGGAUCGCAGUCUGCAACUCGACUGCGUG
This 403-nucleotide ribosomal RNA is filed under the name uncultured bacterium. Its description in RNAcentral is "bacterial SSU rRNA". It matches the Rfam family "Bacterial small subunit ribosomal RNA", at positions 917 to 1322 of the family's 1533-position model. The record is from RNAcentral.